This 772-nucleotide ribosomal RNA is filed under the name uncultured Neocallimastigales. RNAcentral's name for it is "partial large subunit ribosomal RNA". It matches the Rfam family "Eukaryotic large subunit ribosomal RNA", at positions 24 to 628 of the family's 3401-position model. The record is from RNAcentral. Lineage: Eukaryota; Fungi; Neocallimastigomycota; Neocallimastigomycetes; Neocallimastigales.
GUAGUCUCGCACAGAUGCAUAUCAAUAAGCGGAGGAAAAGAAACUAACAAGGAUUCCCUCAGUAACGGCGAGUGAAGCGGGAAGAGCUCAAAUUUGAAAUCUUGAAAGGUCACCUUUCACGAAUUGUAGUUUAAAGAAGUGUUUUCUGUUACGAUCGUAAUAUAAGUUCUUUGGAAUAGGACAUCACAGAGGGUGAGAAUCCCGUCUAUGAUUGCGAUUUGUAGCUUUGUGAUACACUUUCAAAGAGUCGGGUUGUUUGGGAAUGCAGCCCAAAACGGGAGGUAAAUUUCUUCUAAGGCUAAAUAUUGGCGAGAGACCGAUAGCGAACAAGUACCGUGAGGGAAAGAUGAAAAGAACUUUGAAAAGAGAGUUAAAUAGUACGUGAAAUUGUCCAAAAGGGAAGCGUUUAACACCAGUGUUGUUUUCUGAAAAUCAACCUCUGUUAGCUUUAUGCAUGUUUGUUUAGACCUAAUCAGCUAUCUUGCAUGUUCUAUUGUUUGCAGUGGUGCACUUUUCAGUUUACAGGUCAACAUCAGUUUUUUUUACCGUAAAAAAGUUAAAGAAAGGUAGCUCAUGGCUCCGGUCGUGAGUGUUAUAGUCUUUUUCCUAUGCGGUAGGAGAGACUGAGGUCUGCAGUGUAGGCUAUUUGGCUAGAUACUCAGGUGCUAUGUGAUACCAUUUCAUAAACAACUUGUUGAUUAUGUUUUGUCUAUUGCAUACUCGCUUGUACUAUCAUACCUACGCUUAGGAUGUUGAGUCGUAGAGCACGCAG